Molecule: ribosomal RNA, 753 nt
Filed under: uncultured bacterium
Lineage: Bacteria
Description: bacterial SSU rRNA
Rfam family: Bacterial small subunit ribosomal RNA
Source: RNAcentral
ACGCUGGCGGUAGGCCUAACACAUGCAAGUCGAACGGCAGCACAGUAAGAGCUUGCUCUUAUGGGUGGCGAGUGGCGGACGGGUGAGGAAUACAUCGGAAUCUACCUUUUCGUGGGGGAUAACGUAGGGAAACUUACGCUAAUACCGCAUACGACCUUCGGGUGAAAGCAGGGGACCUUCGGGCCUUGCGCGGAUAGAUGGGCCGAUGUCGGAUUAGCUAGUUGGCGGGGUAAAGGCCCACCAAGGCGACGAUCCGUAGCUGGUCUGAGAGGAUGAUCAGCCACACUGGAACUGAGACACGGUCCAGACUCCUACGGGAGGCAGCAGUGGGGAAUAUUGGACAAUGGGCGCAAGCCUGAUCCAGCCAUACCGCGUGGGUGAAGAAGGCCUUCGGGUUGUAAAGCCCUUUUGUUGGGAAAGAAAAGCAGCUGGCUAAUACCCGGUUGUUCUGACGGUACCCAAAGAAUAAGCACCGGCUAACUUCGUGCCAGCAGCCGCGGUAAUACGAAGGGUGCAAGCGUUACUCGGAAUUACUGGGCGUAAAGCGUGCGUAGGUGGUUGUUUAAGUCUGUUGUGAAAGCCCUGGGCUCAACCUGGGAAUUGCAGUGGAUACUGGGCGACUAGAGUGUGGUAGAGGGUAGUGGAAUUCCCGGUGUAGCAGUGAAGUGCGUAGAGAUCGGGAGGAACAUCCAUGGCGAAGGCAGCUACCUGGACCAACACUGACACUGAGGCACGAAAGCGUGGGGAGCAAAC